UUUUUCGAAGAAGAUAGAUUCCCAUGGGAAAAAAAUUUAGGACCGUUAGAUUUGUUAGAUUUUGAAUGGAUGGUUGAUAAUUUUUCUUCUUUUUCUUAUUUUCUUUUCUCUUUCUCCCCUUCUUUUACCAAUUUGCCCCGGUCUAUUUCCUUUUUCCUUUUUUCUUCCCUUAUUUUGCUCAAAUCCUUCUUCCACUAUUGACAAUCCACUUCCUAUCAGAAUGAAAAAUUUGAAGAUUCAAUUGUUUUUUCUUCUCAUUGUUAAUUAAAAGAAAAAUGAGAGCAUAUAAGUCAACAAGCAUCUAAAUGGACACUCCAUUCUCAAAAAUCACCCAUGCCACGAUGAGAAACAAGAAAAAUCGGAAAAAGAGUGAACAAAUGAACGAGAAAAACAAAUGGAAUGAAGGUUCUUUGGCUUCUGUUGAAUGCGUUUUUUUUUUUUGCAGAUCUGAUAAAGGGGUGGUUUUUUUUUAUUAUUUGAGAAAGGAGGGUGGUUUGGGAUUUCUAGAUCCGUGAAAGGGAGUGUGGUGUUGUCCGUUGUCGUCGUCGGCUUGGAAAGGAGCGUAAUUGCGGUGGAGGUGUUGUCGUUGCCAUUUGCCAUCGCCGCCGUGGUGGUUGUGGAUGUAUUUUCCUCGUUGGGUUGUUGUGAUGGUGUCGCUGCCGUUGACUCUUGGUGGUGACGAUGUGGAAUGGUUGUUGUUGCUGACUGUGCUAGUCGGUGGGAACAAAGGCACAAAGUGGGAAAGGGAAGAAAAUAAGAAAAAAGAAACUUGACCUUUGAUUAAACAAAUAAUAUAUCCAAUAGUUGGUAAUAACUUUCUCACCGUGGGAAAGUUGGCAAGGUUUCCCACGCUAGACUUCGUCUCUGAACAAAACGUUUAAAU
RNAcentral lists this long non-coding RNA (883 nucleotides) under Glycine max (soybean). Its description in RNAcentral is "long non-coding RNA (GMAX_LNC001696)". Lineage: Eukaryota; Viridiplantae; Streptophyta; Magnoliopsida; Fabales; Fabaceae. The record is from RNAcentral.